ACGAACGCUGGCGGCGUGCCUAAUACAUGCAAGUAGCACGCUGAAGGAGGAGCUUGCUUCUCUGGAUGAGUUGCGAACGGGUGAGUAACGCGUAGGUAACCUGCCUGGUAGCGGGGGAUAACUAUUGGAAACGAUAGCUAAUACCGCAUAAGAGUAGAUGUUGCAUGACAUUUGCUUAAAAGGUGCAAUUGCAUCACUACCAGAUGGACCUGCGUUGUAUUAGCUAGUUGGUGAGGUAACGGCUCACCAAGGCAACGAUACAUAGCCGACCUGAGAGGGUGAUCGGCCACACUGGGACUGAGACACGGCCCAGACUCCUACGGGAGGCAGCAGUAGGGAAUCUUCGGCAAUGGACGGAAGUCUGACCGAGCAACGCCGCGUGAGUGAAGAAGGUUUUCGGAUCGUAAAGCUCUGUUGUAAGAGAAGAACGAGUGUGAGAGUGGAAAGUUCACACUGUGACGGUAUCUUACCAGAAAGGGACGGCUAACUACGUG
This 494-nucleotide ribosomal RNA is filed under the name uncultured bacterium. RNAcentral's name for it is "partial 16S ribosomal RNA". It matches the Rfam family "Bacterial small subunit ribosomal RNA", at positions 29 to 507 of the family's 1533-position model. The record is from RNAcentral.